CAUGGCCCGGCCGCACCCUCCGGCAGCGUCACCUCUAGUCCCACACCAGCCCUGUCAGGAGCGUCCCCAUGGGCCCCAGUUUACAGAGGAGCACACUGAGGCCAGAGGGGACAGCGACGGCCAGGGCUCAGAGGUGGUCAGGGGCGUCGUAGCUGGUGUUCAAGUUCAGCUCUGCUCCCGGCGAGGGGACCUGCCUCGGGCUCAGGUUUCUCUGCUCCAAAGCCAGCGUCCUGACAGUGGGACAAGUCAUGGAAGGGAAUGCAGACGUCACACAGGCCAAGGGGACAGCCGUCCCAACUGGGGUCCUGAACGCCCUGGGCACGGCAGGGGGCUGAGAGGAGCCACCGGAGGGCCCAGGUUCAAGUCCCACCUCCUCCACCUGAGGGCUACCUACAGCCUCGGAACCCGGGGCUGGAGGGACAGCUCGAGAUCCAGGGAAGCGUCACCUGUGUCACUGCUGUGGCAGUGGUGAAUGUCCGGCUGAUGGACAGCUCACGGGCACUUUCGCUGCCUCCUGGGCUUCCACGCACCCUCCGUGGCGGGUGCUGCCCCCACGCCCUUUCUACAGGUGACAAAAACCACCAGGGGAAGAGGCAAGGGACUUGCCCAAGGUCACAGGUGGACUGCGC
This 629-nucleotide long non-coding RNA is filed under the name Ictidomys tridecemlineatus (thirteen-lined ground squirrel). Its description in RNAcentral is "lncRNA (ENSSTOG00000030773.1)". Lineage: Eukaryota; Metazoa; Chordata; Mammalia; Rodentia; Sciuridae. The record is from RNAcentral.